AGGACGAACGCUGGCGGCGUGCUUAACACAUGCAAGUCGAGCGGUAAGGCCUUUCGGGGUACACGAGCGGCGAACGGGUGAGUAACACGUGGGUGAUCUGCCCUGCACUUCGGGAUAAGCCUGGGAAACUGGGUCUAAUACCGGAUAUGAUUUCAGGUUGCAUGACUUGGGGUGGAAAGAUUUAUCGGUGCAGGAUGGGCCCGCGGCCUAUCAGCUUGUUGGUGGGGUAAUGGCCUACCAAGGCGACGACGGGUA
This 255-nucleotide ribosomal RNA is filed under the name uncultured soil bacterium. RNAcentral describes it as "partial 16S ribosomal RNA". It matches the Rfam family "Bacterial small subunit ribosomal RNA", at positions 26 to 285 of the family's 1533-position model. The record is from RNAcentral.